AUACAUUAUACCAGUGCCUUCUCUUUUUUGCAGGCUCUUAAAGGCAAAGGCUCCUUUCCUUGUCCAAUCUAAUAGGAGAAAAUUCAUGGGCUGGCACCAGAAAAACAACAACAACCUACAAAUCCUGACUUUCAAUAACUGGAGUGUUUGUACACUGGAUGACCCUUUGUUUAUUUGUUGUGUGCCAGACUCAUUGCCAGAAGAGGAUAAAUCUGACCCUAAAGUUAUGAAAGCUUUGUCUUGCCUAGACAGAUGCUGCUGCUGAUAAUGAUGAUUGUGCUUCAUUGUUAUGCCUGUUUGGCUUUCAAGCUUUUCAUGAGAACCAAGACACAUUAAGUAUUGGAAGCUGAAGAUUCACCAGAUGGUUCCGCUGAUCUCUGAAAAAGAGGGAAAACAACUACAUCGGUAGUGCUGCUUGCACCAAUAUUAAUCAAUGUUAAUCAAAAUCUGGACUGACUUUCUUUUCUUUAAAAAACAGAUAGAUAUAUUGCAUAACUUAAAAGGUUAUUGAGAAAUUAA
This 519-nucleotide long non-coding RNA is filed under the name Salvator merianae (Argentine black and white tegu). RNAcentral describes it as "lncRNA (ENSSMRG00000015519.1)". The record is from RNAcentral. Lineage: Eukaryota; Metazoa; Chordata; Lepidosauria; Squamata; Teiidae.